Colias croceus (clouded yellow) is the source of this 1023-nucleotide long non-coding RNA. RefSeq lists it as uncharacterized. The record is from RefSeq and is a predicted model, not a curated record. NCBI's taxonomy places the organism in Eukaryota, Metazoa, Arthropoda, Insecta, Lepidoptera, Pieridae. The transcript has 2 exons.
AUCGCAUCUAUAAAGAUAUUUAUAGCUUAUAUAUGACUAAUGAAAUCAUUUAAGCUGAUGAGUUAAUACGAGAAGAUAUUUUUUACUUUUAUCAGAAGAUCUUAACAAUUUUUUUUGUUCUCUAUAAAAUGAGCUUUUUUUUCACGUCUUUAUUUAUUUAGCUCGGGAAAUUAUGUUAAUUAUGUGACUAAAACAAUUGCUUAUUGCGUACUUUUACGUAUUGAUAUAAUAUCAUAAUGUUGUUUCAAAAAUCAUAAUUAUCUUAUAAAGUUAUAAGUUAUGUCUCAAAAAAUGAAGUCCCUACAACACAAAGGAAGAGAGUUUAACGGGAGUGCGGCUCGGAUUUUUUGUUACUGAUUUUAAGCCAGAUAUUUUUUAUAAUAUAAUAUCAGGCUUUUAUAUCGAAUCAAUAAAUAUUAAUCAAUACAUUCAUUGCGAUGCUUAAAUUUGCGGUUGAAAGCUCGUGUCAUAUACAUAAAUAAUGUACAUUAGGAUGCAAAAAUUUAGCAAAAGGAAACCUGUUUGCACAGUACACGUCUAGUAACUCUUCUGAAGAUAUCACGUAAGCACAAGAUGAUACAUCGACGUGUCUUGAACAUGUUUAUCAUUAUGAUGAUAAUGGUAUUAGCAGCUGCUGUAUUGGAAACAAAAAUGUGUCCUACUAAUUCCAUUGCUAUUAAAGGUGCGGGAGGUACCGUGCGAUGUAUACCAAAAAUUAAUUAAAGAAUAUUUCUAGCUAUCUCAGGACCUAUUCUGAUCUGUAAAUGUGUGGGUUAAAAUCAGCAAAGACCCAGUAUACUGAACCUGUAUGAUUAAUCCCGAAUUUUUUUUAUAGCAAAUUAAAAAAGACUUGAAAUUGAAAUGAUUAGGAAUAGCAAAUAUUCCUUUAAAUAAAUCUUUAUCUUCGUAAGAAGAACUUAUUGUUGUAUCUAAAUGCGACUAAUUAUACCUUUUUGUAUAAUAUGUGCUAUGUAUUCCGACUUGUGAAUUAUUUUUAUUAGAAAUAAAAUACUUUAUGUACAA